UCGAGAGGUUGCUCAAGUGAC
Molecule: non-coding RNA, 21 nt
Filed under: Arabidopsis thaliana (thale cress)
Lineage: Eukaryota; Viridiplantae; Streptophyta; Magnoliopsida; Brassicales; Brassicaceae
Source: RNAcentral